AUCAGUGUGUGUGUUAGUGGAAGCGUCUGGAAAGGCGCGCGAUACAGGGUGACAGCCCCGUACACAAAAAUGCACAUACUGUGAGCUCGAUGAGUAGGGCGGGACACGUGGUAUCCUGUCUGAAUAUGGGGGGACCAUCCUCCAAGGCUAAAUACUCCUGACUGACCGAUAGUGAACCAGUACCGUGAGGGAAAGGCGAAAAGAACCCCGGCGAGGGGAGUGAAAAAGAACCUGAAACCGUGUACGUACAAGCAGUGGGAGCACAGAGCAAUCUGUGUGACUGCGUACCUUUUGUAUAAUGGGUCAGCGACUUAUAUUCUGUAGCAAGGUUAACCGAAUAGGGGAGCCGAAGG
This 353-nucleotide ribosomal RNA is filed under the name Escherichia coli. RNAcentral's name for it is "partial 23S ribosomal RNA". It matches the Rfam family "Bacterial large subunit ribosomal RNA", at positions 316 to 672 of the family's 2925-position model. Lineage: Bacteria; Pseudomonadati; Pseudomonadota; Gammaproteobacteria; Enterobacterales; Enterobacteriaceae. The record is from RNAcentral.